This 383-nucleotide ribosomal RNA is filed under the name uncultured bacterium. RNAcentral's name for it is "bacterial SSU rRNA". It matches the Rfam family "Bacterial small subunit ribosomal RNA", at positions 29 to 416 of the family's 1533-position model. The record is from RNAcentral.
AGCGAACGUUUGCGGCGGGCCUAACAUAUGCAAGUCGAACGGGCUAGCAAUAGUCAGUGGCGCACGGGUGCGUAACACGUGGGUAAUCAACCCUUCAGCUCGGGAUAACGCCUUGAAAGGGGCGCUAAUACCGGAUGCGACGCGAGGAGCCUCGGCGCUUCGCGGGAAAGAUUCGCAAGGAUCACUGAAGGACGAGCCUGCGGCCCAUCAGCUAGUUGGUGAGGUAAGAGCUCACCAAGGCGAAGACGGGUAGCUGGUCUGAGAGGAUGAUCAGCCACACUGGAACUGAGACACGGUCCAGACUCCUACGGGAGGCAGCAGUGGGGAAUAUUGCGCAAUGGGCGAAAGCCUGACGCAGCCACGCCGCGUGAGCGAUGAAGGCC